This 846-nucleotide ribosomal RNA is filed under the name Craterellus yunnanensis. RNAcentral describes it as "LSU rRNA". It matches the Rfam family "Eukaryotic large subunit ribosomal RNA", at positions 104 to 964 of the family's 3401-position model. Lineage: Eukaryota; Fungi; Basidiomycota; Agaricomycetes; Cantharellales; Hydnaceae. The record is from RNAcentral.
GAGCUCAUCAUUGGAAUCUGGCAGUGUUGCACUGUCCGAGUUGUAGAUGAGGAGUAGUCCGUCUGGACUGCAUGGCGUCCAAGUACAAUAGGCCGUCAGUGGGACAUCAUAGAGGGUGACAAUCCCGUCCUUGACGCCAAUGUGCAAGUCUAUUACGAUGGCUAUCUCAGAGAGUCGAGCAGUUUGGGAUUUGCUGCUUAAACAUGGGAGGUAGAUUCCUUCUAAAGCUAAAUACAGGCGAGAGACCGAUAGAGAACAAGUACCGCAAGGGAAAGAUGAAAUAGCACUCUGUGAAGGGAGUCAAAAGGCGUGAAAUUGUUGCGAGAGAAGCGAUUCAAGUCAGCGUAGCUAGGCCCAUCAAGCGUCUUCGCUUUGGACUAGCUUUGCCAGCGGUCUUGUCCCUUGAAGAGACUUGACUUGUAAUAUGUCCAGCCUGGCGUGCACAGGCAGCCCCUUCUGGGGGCCAGUGGCAUGGCUGGUGGAAUGGCUUGCAAUCGACCCGUCUUGAAACACGGACCAAGGAGUCUAACAUGUAUGCGAGUAUAAGGGUGGCAAACCCGUAUGCGCAAUGAAAGUGAUUUUCGGUGAUUGAGAAUGGCCUGAUGACCAGACAAGCAAUAUAUGUCCCUCGUACGGCCAUUGCCCAAGUUCCGUGGUAGAUCCCACGAACAUGGAGUUGGAGCAUACAUGCUAGGACCCGAAAGAUGGUGAACUAUGCCUGGACAAAGCGAAGCCAAAGGAAACUCUGGUGGAGGCUUGUAGCGAUUCUGACGUGCAAAUCGAUCGUCUGAUCUGGGUAUAGGGGCGAAAGACUAAUCGAACCAUCUCAUAGCUGGUUCCUGCCGA